AGUGAACGCUGGCGGUAGGCCUAACACAUGCAAGUCGAACGGCAGCACAGUAAGAGCUUGCUCUUACGGGUGGCGAGUGGCGGACGGGUGAGGAAUACAUCGGAAUCUACUUUUUCGUGGGGGAUAACGUAGGGAAACUUACGCUAAUACCGCAUACGACCUACGGGUGAAAGCAGGGGAUCUUCGGACCUUGCGCGAUUGAAUGAGCCGAUGUCGGAUUAGCUAGUUGGCGGGGUAAAGGCCCACCAAGGCGACGAUCCGUAGCUGGCCUGAGAGGAUGAUCAGCCACACUGGAACUGAGACACGGUCCAGACUCCUACGGGAGGCAGCAGUGGGGAAUAUUGGACAAUGGGCGCAAGCCUGAUCCAGCCAUACCGCGUGGGUGAAGAAGGCCUUUGGGUUGUAAAGCCCUUUUGUUGGGAAAGAAAAGCAGCAGGUUAAUACCCCGCUGUUCUGACGGUACCCAAAGAAUAAGCACCGGCUAACUUCGUG
This 492-nucleotide ribosomal RNA is filed under the name uncultured bacterium. RNAcentral describes it as "partial 16S ribosomal RNA". It matches the Rfam family "Bacterial small subunit ribosomal RNA", at positions 29 to 507 of the family's 1533-position model. The record is from RNAcentral.